This 445-nucleotide ribosomal RNA is filed under the name uncultured bacterium. RNAcentral describes it as "partial 16S ribosomal RNA". It matches the Rfam family "Bacterial small subunit ribosomal RNA", at positions 354 to 796 of the family's 1533-position model. The record is from RNAcentral.
GUGAGGAAUAUUGGACAAUGGGCGCAAGCCUGAUCCAGCCAUGCCGCGUGCAGGAAGACGCAUCUAUGGUGUGUAAACUGCUUUUGUACGGGAAGAAACACUCCCUCGUGAGGGAGCUUGACGGUACCGUAAGAAUAAGGAUCGGCUAACUCCGUGCCAGCAGCCGCGGUAAUACGGAGGAUCCAAGCGUUAUCCGGAAUCAUUGGGUUUAAAGGGUGCGUAGGUGGUUUGAUAAGUCAGCGGUGAAAGUUUGCAGCUUAACUGUAAAAAUGCCGUUGAAACUGUCGGACUUGAGUGUAAAUGAGGUAGGCGGAAUGCGUGGUGGAGCGGUGGAAUGCGUAGAUAUCGGGAGGAACACCAGUGGCGAAGGCGGCCUGCUGGACAUUAACUGACGCUGAGGAGCGAAAGCGUGGGGAGCAAACAGGAUUAGAUACCCGUGUAGUCC